Molecule: ribosomal RNA, 445 nt
Filed under: uncultured bacterium
Lineage: Bacteria
Description: bacterial SSU rRNA
Rfam family: Bacterial small subunit ribosomal RNA
Source: RNAcentral
GUGAGGAAUAUUGCGCAAUGGAGGCAACUCUGACGCAGCCAUGCCGCGUGCAGGAAGAAGGCGCUACGCGUUGUAAACUGCUUUUAACCGGGAAGAAACCCCAGGACGUGUCCUGGGUUGACGGUACCGGAGGAAUAAGCACCGGCUAACUUCGUGCCAGCAGCCGCGGUAAUACGAAGGGUGCAAGCGUUAUCCGGAUUCAUUGGGUUUAAAGGGUGCGUAGGCGGAGCGUUAAGUCAGUGGUGAAAUCCUGCAGCUUAACUGUAGACUUGCCAUUGAUACUGGCGCUCUUGAGUGCGCUUGAAGUGGGCGGAAUGUGCCGUGUAGCGGUGAAAUGCUUAGAGAUGGCACAGAACACCAAUUGCGAAGGCAGCUCACUAAGGCGAUACUGACGCUGAGGCACGAAAGCGUGGGGAUCGAACAGGAUUAGAAACCCUGGUAGUCC